Phalaenopsis equestris is the source of this 313-nucleotide long non-coding RNA. RefSeq lists it as uncharacterized. The transcript is spliced from 2 exons. Lineage: Eukaryota; Viridiplantae; Streptophyta; Magnoliopsida; Asparagales; Orchidaceae. The record is from RefSeq and is a predicted model, not a curated record.
UGUUGGGGAACACCGUGGCCUCACAUGUAUUUUGGAAUGGAUGGGUAGGCAUUCUCUGAGCAUCUUCAUUCUUGUGCCAUCCAACCUUGCUGUCAUUGUUCUUCAAGGAUUUUACUGGAGAAAUCCCAAUAACAACAUUGUUCAUUGGGUCUUAUCCAUUCUUGUUCACAAGUAACUUGAAAAGCCUCGAUGUCGACCAGCAUGCAUUCUCACAGUUACCGUUAAAUACAUUGUAAUUUUGUUGUAUCACUUGCCAUUUAUGAGUUAAAUAUCUGAAUGUUAAAAUAUUGAUGUAAUGGGCUUCUUUUUUUAA